This 613-nucleotide ribosomal RNA is filed under the name Neopsilenchus magnidens. RNAcentral's name for it is "partial large subunit ribosomal RNA". It matches the Rfam family "Eukaryotic large subunit ribosomal RNA", at positions 424 to 889 of the family's 3401-position model. Lineage: Eukaryota; Metazoa; Nematoda; Chromadorea; Rhabditida; Tylenchidae. The record is from RNAcentral.
UAGAGCCGACGUAUCUGGCUUGUAUUCAGCUGCUGUUGAAUGCCAGGCGCGUCGUUCCAAACCCGAUCUCUGGUUGGACGGCGCGUUGCUAGGGCGUUUAUUCAGUAGUGCAUUUGCAAGUGGAGUGCGCUGAGGCUUGUGGACUAGCGGCUGGAGCUUCGUCUUGAGGACACACUUCGGUGUGAACCCCGGACGUUGGGAAGGCCGUCUGCUCUGCAUGUGCAAGAGUGCGGUUGGAGUUGGUCGGUGCUGAUGCGUCGACUGGUAUCGGUCGCAUGCGACACGUGCUAGUCUGCCGUUUCGGUGCCGGCUGGUUCUUCGUACUUGCUCUCGGUGUAAAAGUUGGUCAUCUAUCCGACCCGUCUUGAAACACGGACCAAGGAGUUUAGCGUAUACGCGAGUCAUUGAGUGUAAAACUCAUAGGCGUAAUGAAAGUGAAUUAUUGAAUAUGCGAUCGUGUGCGCUUCGGUGUGCAUGAGCAGCAUAACCCCGUCCCGAUCGCUUGCGAUGGGGCGGAGGUAGAGCGUACUCGCUGAGACCCGAAAGAUGGUGAACUAUUCCUGAGCAGGAUGAAGCCAGAGGAAACUCUGGUGGAAGUCCGAAGCGGUUCUGA